Molecule: ribosomal RNA, 502 nt
Filed under: Salmonella enterica
Lineage: Bacteria; Pseudomonadati; Pseudomonadota; Gammaproteobacteria; Enterobacterales; Enterobacteriaceae
Also listed under: 2 other names
Description: partial 16S ribosomal RNA
Rfam family: Bacterial small subunit ribosomal RNA
Source: RNAcentral
AAAUUGAAGAGUUUGAUCAUGGCUCAGAUUGAACGCUGGCGGCAGGCCUAACACAUGCAAGUCGAACGGUAACAGGAAGCAGCUUGCUGCUUUGCUGACGAGUGGCGGACGGGUGAGUAAUGUCUGGGAAACUGCCUGAUGGAGGGGGAUAACUACUGGAAACGGUGGCUAAUACCGCAUAACGUCGCAAGACCAAAGAGGGGGACCUUCGGGCCUCUUGCCAUCAGAUGUGCCCAGAUGGGAUUAGCUUGUUGGUGAGGUAACGGCUCACCAAGGCGACGAUCCCUAGCUGGUCUGAGAGGAUGACCAGCCACACUGGAACUGAGACACGGUCCAGACUCCUACGGGAGGCAGCAGUGGGGAAUAUUGCACAAUGGGCGCAAGCCUGAUGCAGCCAUGCCGCGUGUAUGAAGAAGGCCUUCGGGUUGUAAAGUACUUUCAGCGGGGAGGAAGGUGUUGCGGUUAAUAACCGCAGCAAUUGACGUUACCCGCAGAAGAAGCA